GAAUUUUCCGCAAUGGGCGAAAGCCUGGCGGAGCAAUACCGCGUGAGGGAGGAAGGUUCUUGGAUUGUAAACCUCUUUUCUCAGGGAAGAAAAAAAUGACGGUACCUGAGGAAUAAGCAUCGGCUAACUCCGUGCCAGCAGCCGCGGUAAUACGGGGGAUGCAAGCGUUAUCCGGAAUUAUUGGGCGUAAAGAGUCCGUAGGUGGUUCAGCAAGUCUAUUGUCAAAGGUCGGGGCUUAACUCCGGAAAGGCAGUGGAAACUGUUGAACUAGAGUAUGGUAGGGGUAGAGGGAAUUCCCAGUGUAGCGGUGAAAUGCGUAGAUAUUGGGAAGAACACCGGUGGCGAAAGCGCUCUACUGGACCAUAACUGACACUGAGGGACGAAAGCCAAGGUAGCGAAAGGG
This 403-nucleotide ribosomal RNA is filed under the name uncultured bacterium. RNAcentral's name for it is "bacterial SSU rRNA". It matches the Rfam family "Bacterial small subunit ribosomal RNA", at positions 359 to 776 of the family's 1533-position model. The record is from RNAcentral.